UACGAAGGGUGCAAACGUUGCUCGGAAUCAUUGGGCGUAAAGCGCACGUAGGCGGCUUCGCAAGUCGGAUGUGAAAUACCUCGGCUCAACCAAGGACGUGCAUCCGAAACUGCGAAGCUUGAGUACUGAAGAGGAUCGCGGAAUUCCCGGUGUAGAGGUGAAAUUCGUAGAUAUCGGGAGGAACACCAGUGGCGAAGGCGGCGAUCUGGGCAGAUACUGACGCUGAGGUGCGAAAGCGUGGGGAGCAAACAGG
RNAcentral lists this ribosomal RNA (253 nucleotides) under uncultured bacterium. RNAcentral describes it as "partial 16S ribosomal RNA". It matches the Rfam family "Bacterial small subunit ribosomal RNA", at positions 524 to 776 of the family's 1533-position model. The record is from RNAcentral.